UUAAGCGACUAAGCGUACACGGUGGAUGCCCUGGCAGUCAGAGGCGAUGAAGGACGUGCUAAUCUGCGAUAAGCGUCGGUGAGGUGAUAUGAACCGUUAUAACCGGCGAUUUCCGAAUGGGGAAACCCAGUGUGUUUCGACACACUAUCAUUAACUGAAUCCAUAGGUUAAUGAGGCGAACCGGGGGAACUGAAACAUCUAAGUACCCCGAGGAAAAGAAAUCAACCGAGAUUCCCCCAGUAGCGGCGAGCGAACGGGGAGCAGCCCAGAGCCUGAAUCAGUGUGUGUGUUAGUGGAAGCGUCUGGAAAGGCGCGCGAUACAGGGUGACAGCCCCGUACACAAAAAUGCACAUACUGUGAGCUCGAUGAGUAGGGCGGGACACGUGGUAUCCUGUCUGAAUAUGGGGGGACCAUCCUCCAAGGCUAAAUACUCCUGACUGACCGAUAGUGAACCAGUACCGUGAGGGAAAGGCGAAAAGAACCCCGGCGAGGGGAGUGAAAAAGAACCUGAAACCGUGUACGUACAAGCAGUGGGAGCCUCUUUAUGGGGUGACUGCGUACCUUUUGUAUAAUGGGUCAGCGACUUAUAUUCUGUAGCAAGGUUAACCGAAUAGGGGAGCCGAAGGGAAACCGAGUCUUAACUGGGCGUUAAGUUGCAGGGUAUAGACCCGAAACCCGGUGAUCUAGCCAUGGGCAGGUUGAAGGUUGGGUAACACUAACUGGAGGACCGAACCGACUAAUGUUGAAAAAUUAGCGGAUGACUUGUGGCUGGGGGUGAAAGGCCAAUCAAACCGGGAGAUAGCUGGUUCUCCCCGAAAGCUAUUUAGGUAGCGCCUCGUGAAUUCAUCUCCGGGGGUAGAGCACUGUUUCGGCAAGGGGGUCAUCCCGACUUACCAACCCGAUGCAAACUGCGAAUACCGGAGAAUGUUAUCACGGGAGACACACGGCGGGUGCUAACGUCCGUCGUGAAGAGGGAAACAACCCAGACCGCCAGCUAAGGUCCCAAAGUCAUGGUUAAGUGGGAAACGAUGUGGGAAGGCCCAGACAGCCAGGAUGUUGGCUUAGAAGCAGCCAUCAUUUAAAGAAAGCGUAAUAGCUCACUGGUCGAGUCGGCCUGCGCGGAAGAUGUAACGGGGCUAAACCAUGCACCGAAGCUGCGGCAGCGACACUAUGUGUUGUUGGGUAGGGGAGCGUUCUGUAAGCCUGUGAAGGUGUGCUGUGAGGUAUGCUGGAGGUAUCAGAAGUGCGAAUGCUGACAUAAGUAACGAUAAAGCGGGUGAAAAGCCCGCUCGCCGGAAGACCAAGGGUUCCUGUCCAACGUUAAUCGGGGCAGGGUGAGUCGACCCCUAAGGCGAGGCCGAAAGGCGUAGUCGAUGGGAAACAGGUUAAUAUUCCUGUACUUGGUGUUACUGCGAAGGGGGGACGGAGAAGGCUAUGUUGGCCGGGCGACGGUUGUCCCGGUUUAAGCGUGUAGGCUGGUUUUCCAGGCAAAUCCGGAAAAUCAAGGCUGAGGCGUGAUGACGAGGCACUACGGUGCUGAAGCAACAAAUGCCCUGCUUCCAGGAAAAGCCUCUAAGCAUCAGGUAACAUCAAAUCGUACCCCAAACCGACACAGGUGGUCAGGUAGAGAAUACCAAGGCGCUUGAGAGAACUCGGGUGAAGGAACUAGGCAAAAUGGUGCCGUAACUUCGGGAGAAGGCACGCUGAUAUGUAGGUGAAGUCCCUUGCGGAUGGAGCUGAAAUCAGUCGAAGAUACCAGCUGGCUGCAACUGUUUAUUAAAAACACAGCACUGUGCAAACACGAAAGUGGACGUAUACGGUGUGACGCCUGCCCGGUGCCGGAAGGUUAAUUGAUGGGGUUAGCGGUAACGCGAAGCUCUUGAUCGAAGCCCCGGUAAACGGCGGCCGUAACUAUAACGGUCCUAAGGUAGCGAAAUUCCUUGUCGGGU
This 1949-nucleotide ribosomal RNA is filed under the name human gut metagenome. RNAcentral's name for it is "bacterial LSU rRNA". It matches the Rfam family "Bacterial large subunit ribosomal RNA", at positions 1 to 1977 of the family's 2925-position model. The record is from RNAcentral.